This 662-nucleotide long non-coding RNA is filed under the name Vigna radiata. Its description in RNAcentral is "long non-coding RNA (VRAD_LNC013305)". Lineage: Eukaryota; Viridiplantae; Streptophyta; Magnoliopsida; Fabales; Fabaceae. The record is from RNAcentral.
GUUUGUAUAAAAUUUAGAAAAAUUGAUGAGAUUAUAUAGAAAAGAGAUGAGAGAAGACAGUUACGUGUGUCUGGGAGUGUGUGACAGAGUUACUACAGUGGAAGGUGUAAAUUUUGGGUGUUUGGUCCAUAGUGGUUAACCUCCCUCUGCCAGAAAGGACAGUGACGCAGAUAAAGAGAAAGAGAGAGAGAGAGAGAAAGUAAUGUUGUGUGGUUGGGGUUGGGUUUACGAUGCAGGUGGGGUCCAGAUAGCAUUCGUUUGGUGUGCAUUGGGAGUGUGAAGAGAAAGAGGGGGGGUGUGCACGCAUGGUGAGUAAGUGAUUAAUUAAUUAACACUGUCACAGCAGAAGAAGAAGAUGAUGGUAGCGCAGUGGCAGUAAAUGCCACACGCAUGCACGCACGCACGGUGGCUGGUGGGUGGUCAUCAGAAUGGGAAUAAAAAGCUGGGUGACGUUAUCGUCGCUAACAGACAUAAGGUAAAAGGGUACUAAACAAAUGCAAUGCAUGCACACAACACAACAAACAAAGACCCCACCUAUCCAUCAAUUCACUGAAUACAAACAGCUGCACGUGGACAUCACCUACCACACGUGCACUCAAUCACCAACCAUACAUACAUACAUAACAUCUACAUUCAUAUAUACAUAUAAUUCCACAAUUUUU